GCCUGUAAGCUCCUAACAGGAGCAGCGGACUCAAAAUCCGCCGGGCUCCGGCCCUUGGGGUUCGACUCCCCCUCCCGGCACCA
This 83-nucleotide transfer RNA is filed under the name Terriglobia bacterium. RNAcentral's name for it is "tRNA-Leu". Lineage: Bacteria; Pseudomonadati; Acidobacteriota; Terriglobia. The record is from RNAcentral.